CGUGUAGGCGGUUGCCCAAGUCGGGUGUGAAAGCCUUGAGCUCAACUCAAGAAAUGCACUCGGUACUGGGUGACUAGAGGACCGGAGAGGAUAGUGGAAUUCCCAGUGUAGUGGUGAAAUACGUAGAGAUUGGGAAGAACACCAGUGGCGAAGGCGGCUAUCUGGACGGUUUCUGACGCUAAGACGCGAAAGCGUGGGAGCAAACA
Molecule: ribosomal RNA, 206 nt
Filed under: uncultured bacterium
Lineage: Bacteria
Description: partial 16S ribosomal RNA
Rfam family: Bacterial small subunit ribosomal RNA
Source: RNAcentral